Molecule: ribosomal RNA, 2931 nt
Filed under: Escherichia coli
Lineage: Bacteria; Pseudomonadati; Pseudomonadota; Gammaproteobacteria; Enterobacterales; Enterobacteriaceae
Description: 23S ribosomal RNA
Rfam family: Bacterial large subunit ribosomal RNA
Source: RNAcentral
GGGUUGUGAGGUUAAGCGACUAAGCGUACACGGUGGAUGCCCUGGCAGUCAGAGGCGAUGAAGGACGUGCUAAUCUGCGAUAAGCGUCGGUAAGGUGAUAUGAACCGUUAUAACCGGCGAUUUCCGAAUGGGGAAACCCAGUGUGUUUCGACACACUAUCAUUAACUGAAUCCAUAGGUUAAUGAGGCGAACCGGGGGAACUGAAACAUCUAAGUACCCCGAGGAAAAGAAAUCAACCGAGAUUCCCCCAGUAGCGGCGAGCGAACGGGGAGCAGCCCAGAGCCUGAAUCAGUGUGUGUGUUAGUGGAAGCGUCUGGAAAGGCGCGCGAUACAGGGUGACAGCCCCGUACACAAAAAUGCACAUGCUGUGAGCUCGAUGAGUAGGGCGGGACACGUGGUAUCCUGUCUGAAUAUGGGGGGACCAUCCUCCAAGGCUAAAUACUCCUGACUGACCGAUAGUGAACCAGUACCGUGAGGGAAAGGCGAAAAGAACCCCGGCGAGGGGAGUGAAAAAGAACCUGAAACCGUGUACGUACAAGCAGUGGGAGCACGCUUAGGCGUGUGACUGCGUACCUUUUGUAUAAUGGGUCAGCGACUUAUAUUCUGUAGCAAGGUUAACCGAAUAGGGGAGCCGAAGGGAAACCGAGUCUUAACUGGGCGUUAAGUUGCAGGGUAUAGACCCGAAACCCGGUGAUCUAGCCAUGGGCAGGUUGAAGGUUGGGUAACACUAACUGGAGGACCGAACCGACUAAUGUUGAAAAAUUAGCGGAUGACUUGUGGCUGGGGGUGAAAGGCCAAUCAAACCGGGAGAUAGCUGGUUCUCCCCGAAAGCUAUUUAGGUAGCGCCUCGUGAAUUCAUCUCCGGGGGUAGAGCACUGUUUCGGCAAGGGGGUCAUCCCGACUUACCAACCCGAUGCAAACUGCGAAUACCGGAGAAUGUUAUCACGGGAGACACACGGCGGGUGCUAACGUCCGUCGUGAAGAGGGAAACAACCCAGACCGCCAGCUAAGGUCCCAAAGUCAUGGUUAAGUGGGAAACGAUGUGGGAAGGCCCAGACAGCCAGGAUGUUGGCUUAGAAGCAGCCAUCAUUUAAAGAAAGCGUAAUAGCUCACUGGUCGAGUCGGCCUGCGCGGAAGAUGUAACGGGGCUAAACCAUGCACCGAAGCUGCGGCAGCGACGCUUAUGCGUUGUUGGGUAGGGGAGCGUUCUGUAAGCCUGUGAAGGUGUACUGUGAGGUAUGCUGGAGGUAUCAGAAGUGCGAAUGCUGACAUAAGUAACGAUAAAGCGGGUGAAAAGCCCGCUCGCCGGAAGACCAAGGGUUCCUGUCCAACGUUAAUCGGGGCAGGGUGAGUCGACCCCUAAGGCGAGGCCGAAAGGCGUAGUCGAUGGGAAACAGGUUAAUAUUCCUGUACUUGGUGUUACUGCGAAGGGGGGACGGAGAAGGCUAUGUUGGCCGGGCGACGGUUGUCCCGGUUUAAGCGUGUAGGCUGGUUUUCCAGGCAAAUCCGGAAAAUCAAGGCUGAGGCGUGAUGACGAGGCACUACGGUGCUGAAGCAACAAAUGCCCUGCUUCCAGGAAAAGCCUCUAAGCAUCAGGUAACAUCAAAUCGUACCCCAAACCGACACAGGUGGUCAGGUAGAGAAUACCAAGGCGCUUGAGAGAACUCGGGUGAAGGAACUAGGCAAAAUGGUGCCGUAACUUCGGGAGAAGGCACGCUGAUAUGUAGGUGAAGCGACUUGCUCGUGGAGCUGAAAUCAGUCGAAGAUACCAGCUGGCUGCAACUGUUUAUUAAAAACACAGCACUGUGCAAACACGAAAGUGGACGUAUACGGUGUGACGCCUGCCCGGUGCCGGAAGGUUAAUUGAUGGGGUCAGCGCAAGCGAAGCUCUUGAUCGAAGCCCCGGUAAACGGCGGCCGUAACUAUAACGGUCCUAAGGUAGCGAAAUUCCUUGUCGGGUAAGUUCCGACCUGCACGAAUGGCGUAAUGAUGGCCAGGCUGUCUCCACCCGAGACUCAGUGAAAUUGAACUCGCUGUGAAGAUGCAGUGUACCCGCGGCAAGACGGAAAGACCCCGUGAACCUUUACUAUAGCUUGACACUGAACAUUGAGCCUUGAUGUGUAGGAUAGGUGGGAGGCUUUGAAGUGUGGACGCCAGUCUGCAUGGAGCCGACCUUGAAAUACCACCCUUUAAUGUUUGAUGUUCUAACGUGGACCCGUAAUCCGGGUUGCGGACAGUGUCUGGUGGGUAGUUUGACUGGGGCGGUCUCCUCCUAAAGAGUAACGGAGGAGCACGAAGGUUGGCUAAUCCUGGUCGGACAUCAGGAGGUUAGUGCAAUGGCAUAAGCCAGCUUGACUGCGAGCGUGACGGCGCGAGCAGGUGCGAAAGCAGGUCAUAGUGAUCCGGUGGUUCUGAAUGGAAGGGCCAUCGCUCAACGGAUAAAAGGUACUCCGGGGAUAACAGGCUGAUACCGCCCAAGAGUUCAUAUCGACGGCGGUGUUUGGCACCUCGAUGUCGGCUCAUCACAUCCUGGGGCUGAAGUAGGUCCCAAGGGUAUGGCUGUUCGCCAUUUAAAGUGGUACGCGAGCUGGGUUUAGAACGUCGUGAGACAGUUCGGUCCCUAUCUGCCGUGGGCGCUGGAGAACUGAGGGGGGCUGCUCCUAGUACGAGAGGACCGGAGUGGACGCAUCACUGGUGUUCGGGUUGUCAUGCCAAUGGCACUGCCCGGUAGCUAAAUGCGGAAGAGAUAAGUGCUGAAAGCAUCUAAGCACGAAACUUGCCCCGAGAUGAGUUCUCCCUGACUCCUUGAGAGUCCUGAAGGAACGUUGAAGACGACGACGUUGAUAGGCCGGGUGUGUAAGCGCAGCGAUGCGUUGAGCUAACCGGUACUAAUGAACCGUGAGGCUUAACCUUACAACGCCGAAGGUGUUU